This 254-nucleotide ribosomal RNA is filed under the name uncultured bacterium. RNAcentral describes it as "partial 16S ribosomal RNA". It matches the Rfam family "Bacterial small subunit ribosomal RNA", at positions 524 to 776 of the family's 1533-position model. The record is from RNAcentral.
CACGUAGGGGGCGAGCGUUGUCCGGAUUUAUUGGGCGUAAAGAGCUCGUAGGCGGCUCAGUAAGUCGGGUGUGAAAUUUCAGGGCUCAACCCUGAACAGCCACCCGAUACUGCUGUGGCUAGAGUCCGGUAGGGGAGCGCGGAAUUCCUGGUGUAGCGGUGAAAUGCGCAGAUAUCAGGAGGAACACCGAUGGCGAAGGCAGCGCUCUGGGCCGGUACUGACGAUGAGGAGCGAAAGCGUGGGGAGCGAACAGG